AGUGCUAGCUCACGAAGACACCAUGCUGUUGACUGAUCUAAGAAGAAUAUGAAGAAGAUGAAGAAUAAUUUUUUUUUUCUUUCUAGAUCUAUGUAUUAAAUCUCUACGAUAGAGAAUAAGAGAAGAAUCUUUUCUUCUCAAUUCUUCGACACAUAAGAGAGAACUUUUCUCUCUUUCUUUUUGCACCAUCAAGAAGAACUUUUCUUCUCU
RNAcentral lists this long non-coding RNA (210 nucleotides) under Elaeis guineensis (African oil palm). RNAcentral's name for it is "long non-coding RNA (EGUI_LNC082919)". Lineage: Eukaryota; Viridiplantae; Streptophyta; Magnoliopsida; Arecales; Arecaceae. The record is from RNAcentral.